ACACGACUACAUUAGAUACCCCUGUAGUCCUAGCCGUAAACGAUACUCGCUAGGUGUCGGCCACGGUGCGACCGUUGUCGGUGCCGUAGGGAAGCCGUGAAGCGAGCCACCUGGGAAGUACGGCCGCAAGGCUGAAACUUAAGGAAUUGGCGGGGGAGCACAACAACGGGUGGAGCUUGCGGUUUAAUUGGAUUCAACGCCGAAAUCUUACCGGGACCGACAGCAACAUGAAGGCCAAGCUGAAGACUUUGCCGGAUUAGCUG
RNAcentral lists this ribosomal RNA (263 nucleotides) under uncultured archaeon. Its description in RNAcentral is "partial 16S ribosomal RNA". It matches the Rfam family "Archaeal small subunit ribosomal RNA", at positions 717 to 982 of the family's 1478-position model. The record is from RNAcentral.